RNAcentral lists this unclassified non-coding RNA (352 nucleotides) under soil metagenome. Its description in RNAcentral is "partial contains 5.8S ribosomal RNA, internal transcribed spacer 2, and large subunit ribosomal RNA". The stretch from base 1 to 120 matches the Rfam family "5.8S ribosomal RNA", at positions 35 to 154 of the family's 154-position model. The record is from RNAcentral.
GAUGAAGAACGCAGCGAAAUGCGAUAAGUAAUGUGAAUUGCAGAAUUCAGUGAAUCAUCGAAUCUUUGAACGCACAUUGCGCCCGCCAGUAUUCUGGCGGGCAUGCCUGUUCGAGCGUCAUUACAACCCUCAGGCCCCCGGGCCUGGCGUUGGGGAUCGGCGGAGCCCCCCGUGGGCACACGCCGUCCCCCAAAUACAGUGGCGGUCCCGCCGCAGCUUCCAUCGCGUAGUAGCUAACACCUCGCGACUGGAGAGCGGCGCGGCCACGCCGUAAAACACCCAACUCUUCUGAAGUUGACCUCGAAUCAGGUAGGAAUACACGCUGAACUUAAGCAUAUCAAUAAGCGGAGGA